GAUGAACGCUGGCGGCGUGCUUAACACAUGCAAGUCGAACGAUGAAGCCCAGCUUGCUGGGUGGAUUAGUGGCGAACGGGUGAGUAACACGUGAGUAACCUGCCCUUUACUCUGGGAUAAGCCUGGGAAACUGGGUCUAAUACCGGAUAGGAGCGCCUACCGCAUGGUGGGUGUUGGAAAGCUUUAUCGGUUUUGGAUGGACUCGCGGCCUAUCAGCUUGUUGGUGAGGUAAUGGCUGACCAAGGCGACGACGGGUAGCCGGCCUGAGAGGGUGACCGGCCACACUGGGACUGAGACACGGCCCAGACUCCUACGGGAGGCAGCAGUGGGGAAUAUUGCACAAUGGGCGAAAGCCUGAUGCAGCGACGCCGCGUGAGGGAUGACGGCCUUCGGGUUGUAAACCUCUUUCGGUAGGGAAGAAGCGAAAGUGACGGUACCUGCAGAAGAAGCACCGGCUAACUACGUG
RNAcentral lists this ribosomal RNA (466 nucleotides) under uncultured bacterium. Its description in RNAcentral is "partial 16S ribosomal RNA". It matches the Rfam family "Bacterial small subunit ribosomal RNA", at positions 28 to 507 of the family's 1533-position model. The record is from RNAcentral.